RNAcentral lists this ribosomal RNA (454 nucleotides) under Escherichia coli. RNAcentral describes it as "bacterial SSU rRNA". It matches the Rfam family "Bacterial small subunit ribosomal RNA", at positions 30 to 477 of the family's 1533-position model. The record is from RNAcentral. Lineage: Bacteria; Pseudomonadati; Pseudomonadota; Gammaproteobacteria; Enterobacterales; Enterobacteriaceae.
AUUGAACGCUGGCGGCAGGCCUAACACAUGCAAGUCGAACGGUAACAGGAAGCAGCUUGCUGCUUUGCUGACGAGUGGCGGACGGGUGAGUAAUGUCUGGGAAACUGCCUGAUGGAGGGGGAUAACUACUGGAAACGGUAGCUAAUACCGCAUAACGUCGCAAGACCAAAGAGGGGGACCUUCGGGCCUCUUGCCAUCGGAUGUGCCCAGAUGGGAUUAGCUAGUAGGUGGGGUAACGGCUCACCUAGGCGACGAUCCCUAGCUGGUCUGAGAGGAUGACCAGCCACACUGGAACUGAGACACGGUCCAGACUCCUACGGGAGGCAGCAGUGGGGAAUAUUGCACAAUGGGCGCAAGCCUGAUGCAGCCAUGCCGCGUGUAUGAAGAAGGCCUUCGGGUUGUAAAGUACUUUCAGCGGGGAGGAAGGGAGUAAAGUUAAUACCUUUGCUCAUUG